This 192-nucleotide ribosomal RNA is filed under the name Triticum aestivum (bread wheat). Its description in RNAcentral is "partial small subunit ribosomal RNA". Lineage: Eukaryota; Viridiplantae; Streptophyta; Magnoliopsida; Poales; Poaceae. The record is from RNAcentral.
AUGAACACAGUCUUCGGCCGUUAUGUCCGUAAGUUCAUCAUCAUUUUCCUGGAUGACAUCUUGGUUUUCAGUUUUGACCUGCAAGAACACGAACAACACCUGCGCCUCACCUUGGACCUCCUUCGUGAGCACCAGCUGUUUGCCAAGGCCAGCAAGUGUUCAUUCGCGCAAACCAGUAUUGAGUACCUCGGG